Molecule: unclassified non-coding RNA, 147 nt
Filed under: uncultured Dothideomycetes
Lineage: Eukaryota; Fungi; Ascomycota; Dothideomycetes
Description: sequence contains ITS2
Source: RNAcentral
CACCACUCAAGCCUCGCUUGGUAUUGGGCAACGCGGUCCGCCGCGUGCCUCAAAUCGACCGGCUGGGUCUUCUGUCCCCUAAGCGUUGUGGAAACUAUUCGCUAAAGGGUGUUCGGGAGGCUACGCCGUUAAACACCCCCUUCUUUA